CAACAAUGGAAAAGCUACACGAGGAUGAAGAAGUGCGCAUAACAUUAUCUAUUAUAUAUAAAGAGAACACAAAAGGUGAAUAGUGUUUUGGUGUCAUAAUUCUUUACCAAAAUAAUUGGAUAAAAAUGCCCUCAAAACAAAAAACUUCAAAGCAUCCCAAAAUAAUGCAUCAAAUAAGGCAAGGGCAUUUUCGUCAUUUAAUAGUAUUUUUUUAAUAAUUAAUGAUUUUGUGGUUUUUUUUAAUUAGUACCUUACAAUAGGCUUGACACACCCCGACCGAAGUCAAGGCAUGAUGGCCGUCACGUGAGAGUGACGUAACCAUGUGCACAGUGGUGAAGCGAUAAAGAUAGCAAAUAUACAAAUAAUUAAAAACCACAUUAAUAUAGUGCACUAUUAGCAGGGAGUGAUAGGAGUUAGUUACAACCGUAAACACUCCUAAUCAGAGCAUAAAAAGUCUAGCUGCAGUCCAAUAGGACAAGUACUAGUUACACAGUACCAUAAAUGUCCUACUAUUAUUCAAUAGGUUAGAACUGUCGACGAUCCCAAGCCACCAAUAGCAAGCUUACUUAGAACCUGGAGGGGCACAAAACAGAAAACGUGAGUGGGCAAAAACAAAUGUUUUACAAAAACAUUUC
Molecule: long non-coding RNA, 635 nt
Filed under: Malus domestica (apple)
Lineage: Eukaryota; Viridiplantae; Streptophyta; Magnoliopsida; Rosales; Rosaceae
Description: long non-coding RNA (MDOM_LNC005148)
Source: RNAcentral